Molecule: long non-coding RNA, 810 nt
Organism: Xiphias gladius (swordfish)
Lineage: Eukaryota; Metazoa; Chordata; Actinopteri; Istiophoriformes; Xiphiidae
Exons: 4
Source: RefSeq, a predicted model, not a curated record
CUCCAGACCUCUUGUCAUCUGCGUCCUCAGUUCGGUUCAGCUCAUCCUCGUCGUAGCUGUACACCAGACCCACUCCACGCGCCCCUGGCGAUGGAUAGGAAGAGAUGAAGAGGCACAGGGACAGCACACAGAAAAACAGCAGAGUUCAGAUAACUGCAAGAGGCAAACAGCGACACUGGCAGCUGGCACAGGAAUAAGACCGGAUGCCAGUCAUGGUUCAGCAUACGGUAGAUUUAAUUUAUGCCAGUCGGACAUGGAGACUAGCAGGGCUACAGGAAGACACCACAAAGCCAGCAAGCCGGAAAUCUGGGGAUAUGAUUUUUCUACAAACACACACUGCCAAAGCACUCAAGAUGGAAAAACAAAACCUGGCAUUUCAUUCAUGUGUGACACUGGGAUUCAAGGGACGAAUCCGCAGCAUCCAUACAGCAGAGCGAAGACGACCAGAGACAGAGUUCCCAGCACAAACACUGCUAUGACCACAAGACCACCCAGCGCCCAUGGCUCCUGAUGCAGCCGAAACAGGAACCACUCCACCCAGUCCUCAGGUGACCCUGUGGGUUUCUGCUGCUCAGAUACACUGCACAGGGAGUUAUAAACCAGACGGGCUGUAGAGGCCGAACCCUGGAGACCUGGUAUUUUGGCUUUCCACAGCAGCAGCAGUGGACACAGGACAGCACGAUCAUGAAGAGAAACGUGGCUGAGAGGAGAGACAGGAGACGGGGCAGACAGAAGAUACAGGGUGGGACUCAACAGAUAAAACUCACCAACAAAGAGGAUGAGCACAAAGAAGGCUCCCUGCUCCAGAGG